AUGGAUUUCUUUAUGAAUUUCAUGUUGGGUUUGUUUUGUGUAUGUUGAGAAUGAUCAAUUGAAUUCAAAUCCAUGUUGGGUGAUCAAUUUUAUGUGGAAUUGAUUUGUAUAGAUGUAUAUUCAUGUGAACCUAUGAAUAAACCCUAGGAUGAUGAAAUUAGAGAUGAAUCAUGAUGAUUAAUUGUUGUAUAAUGUUGUCUACAUGUGCUAUGCCUACCAUGUGUUUGAUUAAAUGCCUAGAUGAAGGAACAAUGCUCAACUAGUAUGAUAUCAUGAAAUCCCCA
Molecule: long non-coding RNA, 284 nt
Filed under: Capsicum annuum
Lineage: Eukaryota; Viridiplantae; Streptophyta; Magnoliopsida; Solanales; Solanaceae
Description: long non-coding RNA (CANN_LNC003187)
Source: RNAcentral